UAAAAAUUACUUUAAAAUACAACAAAACUAUUUAAAACUAUAACUCAUAAAAAACUCCUAAAACUACAUACAAAAUUUUAAAACAAAAAAUCCAAAAUAUUAGGAGAAGUCAUAGCGUAAGGCAACAGUGAAUGACCUGUCGCCAAAGGCAUCAAAGUCAAGAAAAAGGCACUCUGUUCGCUAGAGUUGAUAAAUAAUAUAUUUAUUAUAAAUCCUUGACUAUGAAUCAG
Molecule: unclassified non-coding RNA, 230 nt
Filed under: Hevea brasiliensis (rubber tree)
Lineage: Eukaryota; Viridiplantae; Streptophyta; Magnoliopsida; Malpighiales; Euphorbiaceae
Source: RNAcentral